Betta splendens (Siamese fighting fish) is the source of this 1164-nucleotide long non-coding RNA. RefSeq lists it as uncharacterized. The transcript is spliced from 2 exons. The record is from RefSeq and is a predicted model, not a curated record. NCBI's taxonomy places the organism in Eukaryota, Metazoa, Chordata, Actinopteri, Anabantiformes, Osphronemidae.
GAACGUGUCAGACCCCAGAACGGCCUUCUGGGAACACUGUCUGUGGUGACACAUCUGGCUCCUGGGGACGGACCUGCUUCGCCCCUCAAGCUCAGCGCCGCUGCCACUGCAGUAAAUACGCUUUCUGUUGCUAUGACAACGUUUCUCCUGACUAACCGACGUUCGACGCGUUGCCCUGGAUGGACUGGCGUCCUGUCCGGGCUCUAACCCGCCUCUCGCCCAUAGAUUGAUGGGACAGGCUCCAGUGUCGGCUCCGAGCGGUAGAAAAUGCAUGGAUGGAUGAACGUUGGUCAUGUAAACGCAUCUCACUUGAUGACGUAAUAUCUGCUUGUGUUUAAUCUGUUUUUAUCUGCUGAGAUGUUAUAAAGAGGUAAAUACCUGAACCACAGCGACCUUUCAUCACUUCUUCCUUCAGUAAAGUUGCCUUUCUCCCUCAGUCUUUUCUCGUAGAUUCUCCAGCAGCUUCCAGCACGAACCUGUUGGUUUCCCACCUCUUAUAUCUUCCCCGUCUCCGAGCUGGCCCCGCCCCUCUACGUUGACCCCGCCCCUCUGUGCUUGCCCCGCCUCUAAUCAAGCAGACUUCACAUCACCACGACAGCAGUGAUGUUAAAUAUGGCAUAAAAAGAACCGUGGGUAAAAUAAUCAGGACUGUUAUUUACUGAUCUCAUCAUUACUCUUGACACCUGUAGAAGAAACACAGUUCAGUCAUUGGAGAAAAGUUUAGAAAACUCAACACAGAAUAAAAUAUCAAAAGUAUCACUUAACUACUUAGAAAGAUGAAGGUAAAAAUUAGACUUUUCUCAAUAUUUUGACUAUUUAUUAAAUAAACUAUUGUUGACAUUUACUGUAAAUGAACAUUGCAGACUUUUAAUCUCAAAAUUUAAACUGUAUCAUCUUUUCCUAUUACCAGAAUAAAUAUUAGAUUGCUACCUAUAAACUUAGUAAAAAGUCUGUUCUCACCAAAACUAUGAAUUAUGGGAAUAUUUCUUAGGUGUGUGACACAAACCCUGUGGUAUACAGAAUGUCUUCAAUGCCAUGAUAUUGCAAACUUGAAGACGUGACGUGUUUUAAGUAUUAAUAUUGAGCUAUUCGUGCUUGUAAAGUGGAUGGUGUUAAUGCAGAGCAUCAUCACUGCAGAUUCAAUACAGAAACAAAAUAACCAUG